GCCGGGGUGGCCGAGCUUGGUCCAAGGCGCGGGACUGGAGAUCCCGUCCCCGCAAGGGGGCCCGGGUUCAAAUCCCGGCCCCGGCAUCA
Molecule: transfer RNA, 89 nt
Filed under: Caldivirga maquilingensis IC-167
Lineage: Archaea; Thermoproteati; Thermoproteota; Thermoprotei; Thermoproteales; Thermoproteaceae
Description: tRNA-Ser
Rfam family: tRNA
About the family: Transfer RNA (tRNA) molecules are approximately 80 nucleotides in length. Their secondary structure includes four short double-helical elements and three loops (D, anti-codon, and T loops).
Source: RNAcentral